CAGUCGCCGCGGUAAUACGAAGGGGGCUAGCGUUGUUCGGAAUUACUGGGCGUAAAGCGCACGUAGGCGGAUAUUUAAGUCAGGGGUGAAAUCCCGCAGCUCAACUGCGGAACUGCCUUUGAUACUGGGUAUCUUGGGUAUGGAAGAGGUUAGUGGAAUUGCGAGUGUAGAGGUGAAAUUCGUAGAUAUUCGCAGGAACACCAGUGGCGAAGGCGGCUAACUGGUCCAUAACUGACGCUGAGGUGCGAAAGCGUGGGGAGCAAACAGGAUUAGAUACCCCGGUAGUCCCUGUCUCUUAUAC
RNAcentral lists this ribosomal RNA (301 nucleotides) under uncultured bacterium. RNAcentral's name for it is "partial 16S ribosomal RNA". It matches the Rfam family "Bacterial small subunit ribosomal RNA", at positions 509 to 807 of the family's 1533-position model. The record is from RNAcentral.